This 492-nucleotide ribosomal RNA is filed under the name uncultured bacterium. Its description in RNAcentral is "partial 16S ribosomal RNA". It matches the Rfam family "Bacterial small subunit ribosomal RNA", at positions 29 to 507 of the family's 1533-position model. The record is from RNAcentral.
AUUGAACGCUGGCGGCAUGCUUUACACAUGCAAGUCGAACGGUAACAGGCCUUCGGGUGCUGACGAGUGGCGAACGGGUGAGUAAUGCAUCGGAACGUACCCAGAGGUGGGGGAUAACGCAGCGAAAGCUGUGCUAAUACCGCAUGUGAUCUGAGGAUGAAAGCGGGGGACCGAGCAGCAAUGUUUGGCCUCGCGCCUUUGGAGCGGCCGCUGUCGGAUUAGCUAGUUGGUGGGGUAAAGGCCUACCAAGGCGACGAUCCGUAGCUGGUCUGAGAGGACGACCAGCCACACUGGGACUGAGACACGGCCCAGACUCCUACGGGAGGCAGCAGUGGGGAAUUUUGGACAAUGGGCGCAAGCCUGAUCCAGCAAUGCCGCGUGCGGGAAGAAGGCCUUCGGGUUGUAAACCGCUUUUGGCAGGAACGAAACGGUGUCCGCUAAUACCGGGCGCUAAUGACGGUACCUGCAGAAUAAGCACCGGCUAACUACGUG